UUUAAGGAACAAAUAUAAAUUGGGCUUUGAUCUUAUGAUGGAGUAUCUAUGAUUAUGGGCUUUUAAAAAUAAUGUAAGCAUCUCCAUUUUAGUUUAAGUUGAUUAUUAAUUUAGGUGAGUAAUUUAUACGAUUAUAUCUAAUUUUGGGUUGUUAUGGACUUAUGGUUAUGUUAAUCAUGGAGCAAAAAGCCAAAAUCAAGCUAUUAUAUGAUGUAUUUGGGAUUACUUAAUUAGUGAUGGAGCUCAUGGACGUUGAUAACUGGAGUCCAAUUAAGAUGAUUAAUCUUAAGCGAUCGAGUUUUUCAUAGGUUGAAACAUGGAAAAGGAGCAAGAGAAAGAAUGGACAGAAGCACAGACUAUACGUAGUACUGAGUGUUGAUCUUCUCGAAACUGCCAAGAAACAACUUCAAUUUCUUGCUGUUGUGGAUCGUAAUAGAUAUUUCAUUUUUGUAUGAAAGUCCUGCUUUGGAAUGGGCUAUCUUUUGGAAUGGAUCCAAUGAACAUUGUGAACAAUAUGAUGCAUAAUUUUUAUCUAUAUGAUGCAUACUUUUUUUAAGACGAACUUUGUGAACAAUUUUAUUGCCUAAAUUUGUUGUGAUAUAUAUAA
Spinacia oleracea (spinach) is the source of this 607-nucleotide long non-coding RNA. RefSeq lists it as uncharacterized. The record is from RefSeq and is a predicted model, not a curated record. The transcript is spliced from 2 exons. Lineage: Eukaryota; Viridiplantae; Streptophyta; Magnoliopsida; Caryophyllales; Amaranthaceae.